RNAcentral lists this ribosomal RNA (762 nucleotides) under Escherichia coli. Its description in RNAcentral is "partial 23S ribosomal RNA". It matches the Rfam family "Bacterial large subunit ribosomal RNA", at positions 711 to 1475 of the family's 2925-position model. RNAcentral also lists the same sequence under 1 other name. The record is from RNAcentral. Lineage: Bacteria; Pseudomonadati; Pseudomonadota; Gammaproteobacteria; Enterobacterales; Enterobacteriaceae.
AGACCCGAAACCCGGUGAUCUAGCCAUGGGCAGGUUGAAGGUUGGGUAACACUAACUGGAGGACCGAACCGACUAAUGUUGAAAAAUUAGCGGAUGACUUGUGGCUGGGGGUGAAAGGCCAAUCAAACCGGGAGAUAGCUGGUUCUCCCCGAAAGCUAUUUAGGUAGCGCCUCGUGAAUUCAUCUCCGGGGGUAGAGCACUGUUUCGGCAAGGGGGUCAUCCCGACUUACCAACCCGAUGCAAACUGCGAAUACCGGAGAAUGUUAUCACGGGAGACACACGGCGGGUGCUAACGUCCGUCGUGAAGAGGGAAACAACCCAGACCGCCAGCUAAGGUCCCAAAGUCAUGGUUAAGUGGGAAACGAUGUGGGAAGGCCCAGACAGCCAGGAUGUUGGCUUAGAAGCAGCCAUCAUUUAAAGAAAGCGUAAUAGCUCACUGGUCGAGUCGGCCUGCGCGGAAGAUGUAACGGGGCUAAACCAUGCACCGAAGCUGCGGCAGCGACACUGUGUGUUGUUGGGUAGGGGAGCGUUCUGUAAGCCUGUGAAGGUGUGCUGUGAGGCAUGCUGGAGGUAUCAGAAGUGCGAAUGCUGACAUAAGUAACGAUAAAGCGGGUGAAAAGCCCGCUCGCCGGAAGACCAAGGGUUCCUGUCCAACGUUAAUCGGGGCAGGGUGAGUCGACCCCUAAGGCGAGGCCGAAAGGCGUAGUCGAUGGGAAACAGGUUAAUAUUCCUGUACUUGGUGUUACUGCGAAGGGGGGACGG